Molecule: long non-coding RNA, 3279 nt
Organism: Danio aesculapii
Lineage: Eukaryota; Metazoa; Chordata; Actinopteri; Cypriniformes; Danionidae
Exons: 2
Source: RefSeq, a predicted model, not a curated record
UCCUUUGAACAGCAGAUUUUAUUGUUUAAUAUUGAAAACUGUUAACAAUUAAAAACUGAUGUCACCCAACAAUGUGUUUAAAUAUUUUGUGUUUAUUCAAUGCAUUAUCUGCAUUGAGCCAAGUCACUUGCUGCUAACGUAUGUAAUAGACAGUGAGCUCAUUAUGUUUUGGAGCAGAGCUUUCAUUGUGGUGUUUCUCACAGAGCCAAAACAGUCAGUAUGACUGAAAAGAGUCACUAUCUCUAAAACGGAAGGAACUGGUUACACUUAACGUUGAGGGUAAGAAGUAUUUGCAAUGAACCAAGCACCUUCAGUGUACUGCCUGUUAGUCAUACCUCACCUUUUUCAGAUUGUCACACUCGUAUGUGUAGUUUUUGUACAACCAAUUUCAAUAUGCAUGAGAAUAUGUCAAAUGUAUGGCUUCCAAUGCACUACUGUUCAAUCCCUCUGGGUGUGUUUUUCGCUAUGCGUAGACAAUUUAGAUGUCUUUUUCUGUGACUGUUCUCGUGUUUGUGACCAUGUUGUCUUUUGAUACAGGGGUAUUCCUGCUCUGAUCAAUGAAUCUGCUUGUUACAAGCGGUAAUUGCUUCUUUAUUUAUAUCUCAAUUCCUUGUGUUUCAAAUACACCUGUUAAAAAGCUUAGCUCAUUCUGGAAGAAUUAUCUGCCUGUUAUCUUUUGCAAAGCCUUUCCUGCAUGAAAGUGGAAUAAUUUGGAUUUACUGUAAAUUCACAUUAUUUGUUAUCAUCAAACAAUGUAAAAAUAAAGCUGUUUUGUGGUGAAAAAAAUACAAAAAACAUGAAUUUAGACUUUCAAAGUUGUCUGUCUUUCACGCAUUUCAUGCAAUUAAAUACAUACUCGAUAAGAAAGUGCUUCAGCUUCUUAGGAACCUUAUGGUGUGUUUUGUUUCAUAAACACUAACUGCUGUUUGUAUUAUUUCUCCCACUGUUUCUUUGUGUUCGAGUAUAUUCUCUGGCCAAAGGAGACAUGUCUGUCCGUCAUCCUCCUGCCUGCCUCUGCUUUCAAAGGGACAAGAGCUCUUCAAGACCCUUUAAUCCAGGUCACUCCUAAAGGCAUGUUUAGAUCCAACACAAAGCAAAGCUGUAAUCUGAAAUGAACAGCCAGUUCAGAGGGCUGAUGCUUAGGGGAUUUGUUCCCAUUUCAUCUGUAGCAACACAAAAUGUCUUAAAGAUUUUUAAAGGGUUAGUUCUUCAUGAAGUAAAAAUCCUGCUGUCAUUUACUCACACUCACAUUUCAAAUCCAUGUGUUCAUCUUUGCAACACAAAUUUAGACAUUAGUAAUUAAUUAGUAUAAAUCAAAAUGAUACCUGUUCCUUAUAUAAAAUUCCAUACACACAAAACUGAUGCUUCAACAAAAUAAACGUGAACUAAUUAGUUUAAUUCAAGUUGUCUGAACAGGAUUAUUUUAGAAAAUAAACUGAUCAAAUGCAGGCUUUUAUUCACGCGUAAAGAUCACUCUAAACCAAACUCGGUCCUGGAGGGCCAGUGUCCUGCAUAUUUUAGUUCCAACCCCAACUAAACACACCUAAACCAGCGAAUCAAGCUCUUUCUAGGUGUACUAGAAACUUCCAAGCAGGUGUGUUAAAGAAACUGAACUGGAGCUAAACUGUGAUGGACACCGGCCCUCCAGGAUCGGGUUUGGACACCCUUGCUCUAAACCAGAGGUCUCAAACUCAGUUUCUGGAUGGCCACAGCUCUGCAUAGUUUAGUACCUGCUUAAUAGUCCAUAGUAGUCUUGAACACCCUAAUUAGUUGGAUCAGCUGUGUUUGAUUAGGGUUGGAGCAAAACUGUGCAGAGCUGCGGCCCUCCUGGAAUCGAGUUUGAGACCUAUGCUCUAAACAAUGUUCAAUUCUCAAAUUGAAUGAUGAAAGCUAAAGCAUGCUUGCUUGACAAGUGAGAACCAAUGAAGUUCAUUCUUCAGGCUCAUACAUCAUGUAAACCACUCAAAGCAUAUAUGUUUAAUGUUUUAAAGCAUCAGUAAUUGUGGCUGAAUAGACUUUGAAUGGAGUGACCGAUUACUGUUCUAAUAAAUCUAAAUAUUUAUUUGUGAUCUGAAGAUGAACAAAAGUUUUAUAUGUUCAGAAUGACAUGAGGGCUUAGUAAAUGAUGACAGAAUUUUCUUUUAGGUGUAAACAACUUUUUCGUAAUAUGAGCUGUAUGUGUUCUAUAGUCAUAUUAAAAAACAUAACUCCAGAAUGGGUUAUUAAACUGUCAGGAACCUAAUAUAAAAUAAUAUGGCUUUUUCCCCCUAAAUUACUAAACUAGAUAUCAUCAUUUUGUAUAAAAAAUGCAUUGUAUAUACAGGGUGAUUCAAAAAGAAUACCACAACUUUGAAAAUCUGUCUUUAAUCAAAGAAACCUGAUGGAACCUUGGAUAAUUAAUCAAUGGGAAAAGUACUUAAGUUUUUUACAAAACUUCAGAGCUUCCUCAAAUCAACGACAGAAAGAGCUUAGCUCUCCUUUUCUUCUUUGCAGAGUUCUCGAUUUUCAAAGUUGUGGUAUUCUUUUUGAAUCACCCUGUAUAUAUUGCGUGUGUAAUGCUGUAGAUAUGUCAAAAGUUAUACAGCAAUCACAUUUUGUUUUUCUCUUCAAGUCCUUUAUUUAUGCCAACAUUAUUAUUGGUUUGAUCACAGACUAAUCUGCCCAUAUUUAGUUUGGUGAAAAGCCUUGCUUUUAUUUUAAUCAUUGAUACAAACCACUAAGGUUUAUUCUUGGCCAGUUUCAUAUUCAAGUCUUAAAUGGACUAAUUUAGUCACCCUGCAUAUCCACUGAUGAUUGUGUGUUUCCUCAGGAUAUUUCUAGAACGUGUGUUUUCUGUGAUGUACCGCGAUACUGGUAUAUUUAUUCUUUUUAUUGUAGGUGCUGUCUGUUAAAGAAGACCGUUAAAGGAUAUCUCUUCUGGCAAAAAAAGGGUAAGUGCUAAAAUUUAUCCUACUCUCAUGGCCACAUGUGACUCCUAGUGUGAGAGAGAUCCCGAUGGCCAGCUGCUGUCCUACUCUAUUAUUCAAGUGCCUUUCAGGAGCUCGUCUGCUCAUCCACAUUUGGGGAAAAAUACCAACAUCUGUGCGCAGCAUAACAGUGUAUAGUUUGUGACAUUUUAAAACCAAAAUUGCUAAAUUUAUGUUUAAAAACAUCUGAAUGUUGUCUAGUUUGAUGUCAGUUUUACAUAGAAUACUAAAGAUGAUGUUACAGUGAGUAUUGCUGUUCAUGGUUAAUUGUCUGUAUGAAAACACAUCCAAAAAUAAAGAUAUGCAGAAGAAA